CGUAUGUAUCCCUUUAUCAUAAUAUUGGAAAUCUUUCAGUUUUAAAACAAGAAGGGGAGCCAAUAUCACACAAGAGUUAUGCCGGUGAAAAGUCUCAACCUCGGUCAGUAUUCACUACAGACAUUGAAAGUGACGGAGCUGAUGCUGCAUUAACGGAGCAUAUUCUCUCAAAGACGAAUUUCAACAUAAUAUAACGGUAUAUAACUGUCUUCAUUAGGAUUUCACUAUUGGAUUUCAUCAGUUUAUUAGGUUUCAGAAAUGGGUGGGGCAAAAUGGCUCUAUAGCGCCACCUAUAAAACUUCAACAGUGUGUGCCGUUUUAGUCUUAAAAUGGACUUCCUUUCCUGGUAGUAGGCUAUCUGAUAUGAAUUAACUAAUGUUACAUUUUUAAUGUAGCUCAUUUGUCAAUAACAACAUAUCUGCGGUAAAACAUAAUACAAUAAAAGUGCCAUAAGACAGAACAUUCUCUAAUAUGUAUAAUAUCAAAUCUAUUUAUAAGUAAUGUAGCAAUUCAUUAUUUUAAACGCUUUCAUGUAUUUUAAACGCGCUUCUCUGCGCACUCAGGUGAUUCAUUCAUGUUCACGCGCGUGGCGGGGGAGGGGUCUCGUACCUGUGCUAGUGGGUGAAUCCGCCAUGUUUGUGCGGCCUGGAGCAGACGCGAGCAAAACAAUGGAUUAUUUACCAAGAGAUAUUAAUGUAUGGAGUCAUUUCGACAAAACAGUUCUGGAUUGUUAUGUGGAUCUCGAGAGUUUACGCUGAACUAAACUUUGACGAGCAACACUCCGAUCUGCAAACAAAGAGCUGAGGAAGAGGAUGAUGACGGGCCUGCAUUCACGAGGAGAAAGAGCAGAAUUUACUUUUACAGAUGCUUAUGACUGCUAAAACAUGGACAACGCAACACACAAUCACAGCUUUUGUUGCUACUAGCUGCUUCUUCACUCAGCAUGUUAAGACGCACAGGAAUUUAAUCAAGAGAAGUAUUAUCAUCGCUGAAGAAAUGGCAGAUUUUAAUCCUCAGACACCGAACAGGUCAAGCCCUGAAGAAAUAACACCAUGGACAUCAUCUUCUGACUGAACUAGCAAGGAGCUGUUGGAGCAAAUGAGAAAGCUGUUGGAAUGUAAACCUACCUGAGUAAACGCCACUACUUUAAUGAUAAUUUCUAAGUUUACUGAGCGACGUAAACUGCUGUCAUCCACGUCACAUCAUUGCUCUAACUGACGUUACCUGAAGAAUCCUUUCAGCGUAGCAGAUAUUCGCAAGCGUCUGGAGCCAACAUAAAAUGCUGAACUGGAUGCUUACUGAAGAGUGAGCUUCAACACUUAAGGUUUGUACAAAGUUACACCAUGUCACUGAAAAUGGCACGCAUCAACAAGAUUUCAGAGACAUUUUAAAUGUUGAUGAUCUUCAGGUGAGUUGAAAUUUGUCAACACUACCUCCAUCACUGUCAUCACUGUAAAUAAAAUAAAGUUGGCUUGCUUGUUUAACAUGUUAAUUUUUGCUUGACUCUGAAGGGUGUGAAUGAUGUCAACAUGAAACGCACCAUAGCCCUCUGUGCUCCUCGGUGUACCUGUGAGGAGGAGCCACAACUCUUCAAGACUUGAAAUGAGGCGUUGGGAGAGCCAGACAUCACUGGUUCUGUCAUUGUGGUCAAUGAAACGAAAGCACAAGUCCUUCAAGCACUGCAGUUGUGAUAGAAGAUGAUCUUCAGUUUUAUAAUAAAAGACUAAUCUUCAAAAAAAAAAA
Megalobrama amblycephala (Wuchang bream) is the source of this 1743-nucleotide long non-coding RNA. RefSeq lists it as uncharacterized. The record is from RefSeq and is a predicted model, not a curated record. The transcript is spliced from 8 exons. Lineage: Eukaryota; Metazoa; Chordata; Actinopteri; Cypriniformes; Xenocyprididae.